AAACUUGAGAGUUUGAUCCUGGCUCAGAACGAACGCUGGCGGCAGGCCUAACACAUGCAAGUCGAACGUGAAGCAGGAGCUUGCUCCUGUGGAAAGUGGCAGACGGGUGAGUAACGCGUGGGAAUUUACCCAGCUCUACGGAAUAACGCAGGGAAACUUGUGCUAAUACCGUAUACGCCCUUCGGGGGAAAGAUUUAUCGGAGUUGGAUGAGCCCGCGUUAGAUUAGUUUGUUGGUGGGGUAAUGGCCUACCAAGACUACGAUCUAUAGCUGGUCUGAGAGGAUGAUCAGCCACACUGGGACUGAGACACGGCCCAGACUCCUACGGGAGGCAGCAGUGGGGAAUAUUGCACAAUGGGCGCAAGCCUGAUGCAGCCAUGCCGCGUGAGUGAA
This 392-nucleotide ribosomal RNA is filed under the name Hyphomicrobiales bacterium. RNAcentral's name for it is "bacterial SSU rRNA". It matches the Rfam family "Bacterial small subunit ribosomal RNA", at positions 1 to 409 of the family's 1533-position model. The record is from RNAcentral. Lineage: Bacteria; Pseudomonadati; Pseudomonadota; Alphaproteobacteria; Hyphomicrobiales.